RNAcentral lists this ribosomal RNA (301 nucleotides) under uncultured bacterium. Its description in RNAcentral is "partial 16S ribosomal RNA". It matches the Rfam family "Bacterial small subunit ribosomal RNA", at positions 509 to 807 of the family's 1533-position model. The record is from RNAcentral.
CAGCAGCCGCGGUAAUACGGAGGGAGCUAGCGUUGUUCGGAAUUACUGGGCGUAAAGCGCGCGUAGGCGGUUACUCGAGUCAGAGGUGAAAGCCCGGGGCUCAACCCCGGAACUGCCUUUGAAACUAGGUGACUAGAAUCUUGGAGAGGUCAAUGGAAUUCCGAGUGUAGAGGUGAAAUUCGUAGAUAUUCGGAAGAACACCAGUGGCAAAGGCGACUGACUGGACAAGUAUUGACGCUGAGGUGCGAAAGCGUGGGGAGCAAACAGGAUUAGAUACCCGUGUAGUCCCUGUCUCUUAUAC